Long non-coding RNA from Rana temporaria (common frog), 2045 nucleotides. RefSeq lists it as uncharacterized. Lineage: Eukaryota; Metazoa; Chordata; Amphibia; Anura; Ranidae. The record is from RefSeq and is a predicted model, not a curated record. The transcript has 4 exons.
UUUUUACCUUUGCAACCCCUUUAACCCAUGGGUACGAGUGUCCUCACUGGCUGAACUAGUCAGCCAUACCUUCUUUUGCCAGACUAGCUAUGAGAUAAAAUACCAUCAUUAUAUUCUUGGUCUCUUCCAAUUAGAAACCUCUGUAGCUCAGGAACACAGACAACACCUGACACAGAUCCUGGUGUAUAAUCUGGAAUACUAUGCAGUAAAGAAAAUCUACAUCUGGGUAGCAUUGUAAAUGUCUGCUCUGUAUUGGUAUCUAAUGGGCAGUAGACUAGGAUUUGCCUCUGAUCCACAACUUGAGAACAGCAGCUUCCCGUCCUUGAGGGUUCAUCCAUAAAGUAUAUACUUGGACCAUCUCAAGUUGCACCUCUUGAAUUGGAGGAGCAGUAGCUAUACUAAGGCAUAAUUCAAGACUGGUAGAAUCGUAUUAUUUAAUAUAAUUAUUACUCAGAAUUCAUAUAGCUCCAACAGUUUACGCAGCGCUUUACAACAAAAUAUUAAGGGCUUUUGCACACAGGCGUAAAAAAAAGCUGCAUGCAGUGUCUAGUUCUGUAAACGGCAUUAUACAUAUCUUAUGGGCCUGUUCAGACAGCUGUGUUCAUGGCUGUAAUGGUGAAUUGUGCUUUAGCAGCGUCUAAAAGGAAAUUGGAACAGAGCUGCAUCCGGGGCUGUAAUUUCUGCAGUUUUUACACAUGUACACUUGUUUACAUGUGCACACAGGUUGAUGUAUUCUGUAACUAACCAGGAAACCUGUCUAGGCAGCGGCUACACAAAAAUUACUGAGUCCUCUGAUUUGAGUCCAGUAGGUGUAUUUGGAGCUCCGUGAGAGAGGGAUAAGUAAGGAUGUUUGGCAAUUAGUACUUAUUGCCUCGGUACAUAAACGGCCUACAAUUUGGGACACUGAGCAAGCCGAGUACUUCAAUCACGUGCAGCUGAAAAACGAUUGAGAGGCGAUCUUCAUGGAGCCUAUGUCCUGGGUCUGCCUUUGUCAAGGAGCAAGACAAGAAAGAGGGGAUAUCCUCACUGCAAAGGGAAAAGCAUACUACAGUGGUGCCCCAUCAGGAGGCCACUUCAAAAAAUGCCACCCCUGCUUAAGAGAUGAUUCUCUGUCGCUGCCCCAUGGAGUCAAUGGCGACGAGAUCCAAUUGGGCACAAGAGGAGGAUAUACUGAGUGAGGGACGUCCCUCAAGGGAAUCUUCACUAUCCAACUUACUGAGACCUGCAGAGUCAGAGGAGGGAGCACUUGUAGUAUAGGCAUCCAGCAGGGGUCUACAGCAAAGUAUGUGGCUGGUUGAGACAAAACCAUUGGCAGCAGCCAGAAACAACAUCCACUGAUGGCCAGAUCCUGCAGCUGCUGUACAAGCUUUGUGACCGGCAGCCAGAUGUACACCGGGGCAACACAAACGCCAGACAGUUUUCUGCCUCAGCCUCAUGCCGAUACUGGAACACAUCCAUGCAGAGCAUGAAAUGCAAGUCAGGAAUGAUAUUUAGUAUUAUCUGGUGGUCUGCAGGUCCGCUCUUUGGAGAGGCCUUCCGCAUGCUAGGUUACACAUGGAAAGCACCCCACCUAGCUCCUGCACUCUGCCAGUUGGUCCCCCUCCUCCUGAGCCAAGCACAUAUAGGACCCCUCCUAUGGCUCCAGUUUAUCCUUGCCUACCCUGCCCUCCACCUACCAGUCACCCCCCCCACUCUCUUUUUAGCCUUACACAUUUGGUACCUUACCUUUCCCACCCAGUCCUUUCCUGUUACGUUUCCCCUUACACUUUUCCCAGCACUUAAACCUGUCUACCAGACCUGACCCCUGCUAUCGGAACCUGUUAUGUUAUGUUUUGUUUUAAAAAAAAUGUUUUUUAAAAAAUAAACCCUUUUUGAAAGUAUUUCUUCUUGUCUAAUCUCUAAAGGGAAUGUGUUAUUUAGUACACAUCUGGGACAUCUUGUGCCCCCAUCUCAUUGCUGGCUCCGUGGAACGUUUUUGGGACUCCCAUUCACAGUGAAUGGAAGCCUUACCCUGUAUGCUAAAUCAGGGCUCGACAAAUCCCGGG